Molecule: ribosomal RNA, 305 nt
Filed under: uncultured bacterium
Lineage: Bacteria
Description: bacterial SSU rRNA
Rfam family: Bacterial small subunit ribosomal RNA
Source: RNAcentral
UCCUACGGGGGGCAGCAGUGAGGAAUAUUGGUCAAUGGGCGCGAGCCUGAACCAGCCAAGUAGCGUGAAGGAUGACUGCCCUACGGGUUGUAAACUUCUUUUAUAAAGGAAUAAAGUGAGGCACGUGUGCCUUUUUGUAUGUAUUUUAUGAAUAAGGAUCGGCUAACUCCGUGUCAGCAGCCGCGGUAAUACGGAGGAUCCGAGCGUUAUCCGGAUUUAUUGGGUUUAAAGGGAGCGUAGAUGGGUUGUUAAGUCAGUUGUGAAAGUUUGUGGCUCAACCGUAAAAUUGCAAUUGAUACUGGCAG